GUAGGGAAUCUUUGGCAAUGGACGAAAGUCUGACCGAGCAACGCCGCGUGAGUGAAGAAGGUUUUCGGAUCGUAAAACUCUGUUGGUAGAGAAGAACGUUGGUGAGAGUGGAAAGCUCAUCAAGUGACGGUAACUACCCAGAAAGGGACGGCUAACUACGUGCCAGCAGCCGCGGUAAUACGUAGGUCCCGAGCGUUGUCCGGAUUUAUUGGGCGUAAAGCGAGCGCAGGUGGUUUAUUAAGUCUGGUGUAAAAGGCAGUGGCUCAACCAUUGUAUGCAUUGGAAACUGGUAGACUUGAGUGCAGGAGAGUAGAGUGGAAUUCCAUGUGUAGCGGUGAAAUGCGUAGAUAUAUGGAGGAACACCAGUGGCGAAGGCGACUCUCUGGACUGUAACUGACGCUGAGGCUCGAAAGCGUGGGGAGCAAACAGGAUUAGAAACCCGGGUAGUCC
This 450-nucleotide ribosomal RNA is filed under the name uncultured bacterium. RNAcentral describes it as "partial 16S ribosomal RNA". It matches the Rfam family "Bacterial small subunit ribosomal RNA", at positions 354 to 796 of the family's 1533-position model. The record is from RNAcentral.